AGAGGCACUUGAAAGCGAAACCGGUGGGGUUUAAUGACAGCAUUUUCCACAUUUUUAUGAUAAUGACUCUGGUGUUUAUUGGAAGGUUAGAGACUCAGCCGAGCAGGAAAACAAAGCAAUCGGAGAGGCCAGAACUGCAAUGGGGCCUCUGCACUCUUGGCCAUUAAUGCCUGUUCUAUACAUGACAUUUUUUGGCCAUUUGGGCUCUCCAGCAUGUCCCUGUGGGAGUAUGAGAGGAUGGAGGUGACAUCACUUGGGAUGAAGAGGAACAAAGCCUGCCCUCCUGCACUCUGCAAACUCAUCCAACUCUGCUAAUUGGGAUCAUCCUGUUCUUCAUGCUGGGAAACUGAGGCACAGAGAGUUCAGCACAUUGCCAAGGACCACACAAGGGGAUGGAAGUUUGGCCCGAGUAACUUGGAGCCUCCUGCUCCAAGGGUCUUCACCGGGACAUUGCCUGGCUCUGCCUUCCUGUGCAGGUUGGCCUUGGAGAGAUGGACACAAAUCAGCCAAAAGCAGCUUCACCGCUGUGAAAUCAGCUGGAGGCACAAACCUGAAGCUGAAGGUUGGAGAAGGGGGUCCAGUCACGUGGAAGUUAAACAGAAGGCAGUGAAGUCUCCAAAGGAUAAUAAACUAUCUCGAAUUACUUUGCUAAUGGAACAAAGAGUACUGUAAAUGUCACACAGGAUAGAACAAGAGCAGGAGAAACCUUUACAUGAAACAAUGGAUCCAUUAGCACAAAGGUAAGGAAAAAACCCCACAGACUUGUGAUACUUGUGCAGAGCUUCACGGAGUCGCUGCUCCAAGCCAAGGGAAUUUGUUUCCUCACUUGGAUUCUGGGCUGAGCUCACACCACAAUCACCCACACUCUCAAGGCAUUGAUCCUUUAGGAUUUCAAAGCCCUUUACAGACAAUAGUUAAACCCCAGGUGAGUCAGCGAAAUUAUUUCUGCUUCAAACUGAGGUGCAGAGAAGGAAUCAUUGAAUCACUGAUGGGAGAUCAAAACCAAACAGAGGUCCAGACCCAGCAAAUGCGCUGAG
RNAcentral lists this long non-coding RNA (1037 nucleotides) under Parus major (Great Tit). RNAcentral's name for it is "lncRNA (ENSPMJG00000017657.1)". Lineage: Eukaryota; Metazoa; Chordata; Aves; Passeriformes; Paridae. The record is from RNAcentral.